RNAcentral lists this ribosomal RNA (155 nucleotides) under Dactylaria sp. Its description in RNAcentral is "partial large subunit ribosomal RNA". It matches the Rfam family "Eukaryotic large subunit ribosomal RNA", at positions 99 to 258 of the family's 3401-position model. Lineage: Eukaryota; Fungi; Ascomycota; Leotiomycetes; Helotiales. The record is from RNAcentral.
CGGCAACAGCUCAAAUUUGAAAUCUGGCCUUUGGCCCGAGUUGUAAUUUGUAGAGGAUGCUUUUGGUGCGGUGCCUUCCGAGUUCCCUGGAACGGGACGCCUUAGAGGGUGAGAGCCCCGUACGGUUGGACGCCUAGCCUCUGUAAAGCUCCUUC